Molecule: long non-coding RNA, 357 nt
Organism: Onychostoma macrolepis
Lineage: Eukaryota; Metazoa; Chordata; Actinopteri; Cypriniformes; Cyprinidae
Exons: 3
Source: RefSeq, a predicted model, not a curated record
GCGACUGGAGUUUGAUUGUACUGUGCUCUUAAUUAAAGGGACACUGUUUCUGUAAAUGAUAAUAGUUUUGGUGGAUGCAGUAUGACACUGGUGGGCGUGGCCACACCUCAAAGGAGGACUGCGUCAUGAUGAAAGGGGUUUAAAUAUUGCUGACCCACUUUGGCUGAAUGUGUUACAUAAAGUGGGCCUGAGGAAUUCAGAAAACAGAAGUAGAGCGCAGUCAGGAAUUCACGUCAGAGAUGGAAGAAAAGAUGCUUGAGGCGGUCUUACAGUGCGAAGAAUAUCGUGAAGAAACCCAUCCUGCAGUGAAGAAGAGCACCUUUAAUUCAUCGAGUCAUGUCUGACAAUCACUGAACC